UUUCUCUAUCUCGAAAUACGUUUGUAUCUUGAUAAUUACUUAGUUAGAUCUAUAUUAUAUAACUUUUUGGUUUCUUGUUUGUAGCACAUUUCUUAAACCCAAAUUUUCAUUAUCGACAUGAUGUUGGUUAUAGCCCACGUUUCACAAACUCUCUGGCAACAGUUGUCGAACAAUUUAACAUAAAUGGAGAAAUUGCGGAUACAUUUGUGGAUGAGAUUGUAUGCUUUAGAGAUGCAAAGGAAUCAUUUGGGUCAACCAUAGCAAGAAAAACAAGAGAAACCAGAAAUACAGCUGAUUGGUGGACACAAUGUGGGUAUUCUGCACCAAACAUGCAGAAAAUUGCAAUGCGUAUUUUUGCACAAACAGCUUCUUCUUCUGCGUGUGAGAGAAAUUGGAGUACAUUUGCUAUUAUUCAUACCAAGCAAAGGAACCGUUUGGCAUAUCAGAAGUUGGAAAAGCUUGUAUACUACUACUACAACAUGAAGCUGCGGCUGCGAGAUAAACAGGCAAAGAAUAAUGUG
This is a long non-coding RNA of Rosa rugosa (rugosa rose), 521 nucleotides long. RefSeq lists it as uncharacterized. The record is from RefSeq and is a predicted model, not a curated record. NCBI's taxonomy places the organism in Eukaryota, Viridiplantae, Streptophyta, Magnoliopsida, Rosales, Rosaceae. The transcript is spliced from 3 exons.